GACGAACGCUGGCGGCGUGCUUAACACAUGCAAGUCGAACGAUGAAGCCGGAGCUUGCUCCGGUGGAUUAGUGGCGAACGGGUGAGUAACACGUGAGCAAUCUGGCCUUGACUCUGGGAUAACUGCGGGAAACUGUAGCUAAUACCGGAUACGACACCUAGGGGCAUCCCGGGGUGUGGAAAGAAUUUCGGUCAAGGAGUAGCUCGCGGCCUAGCAGCCAGUUGGGGGGGUAAUGGCUCACCAAGGCGACGACGGGUAGCCGGCCUGAGAGGGUGAGCGGCCACACUGGGAGCGAGACACGGUCCAGACUCCUACGGGAGGCAGCAGUGGGGAAUAUUGCACAAUGGGCGAAGGCCUGAUGCAACAACGCCGCGUGAGGGAUGCAGGCCUUCGGGUUGUAAACCUCUUUUAGCAGGGAAGAAGCGAAAGUGACGGUACCUGCAGAAAAAGCACCGGCUAACUACGUGCCAGCCGCCGCCGUAA
This 483-nucleotide ribosomal RNA is filed under the name uncultured bacterium. RNAcentral's name for it is "partial 16S ribosomal RNA". It matches the Rfam family "Bacterial small subunit ribosomal RNA", at positions 28 to 523 of the family's 1533-position model. The record is from RNAcentral.